AUUGAACGCUGGCGGCAGGCCUAACACAUGCAAGUCGAACGGUAACAGGAAGCAGCUUGCUGCUUUGCUGACGAGUGGCGGACGGGUGAGUAAUGUCUGGGAAACUGCCCGAUGGAGGGGGAUAACUACUGGAAACGGUAGCUAAUACCGCAUAACGUCGCAAGACCAAAGAGGGGGACCUUAGGGCCUCUUGCCAUCGGAUGUGCCCAGAUGGGAUUAGCUAGUAGGUGGGGUAACGGCUCACCUAGGCGACGAUCCCUAGCUGGUCUGAGAGGAUGACCAGCCACACUGGAACUGAGACACGGUCCAGACUCCUACGGGAGGCAGCAGUGGGGAAUAUUGCACAAUGGGCGCAAGCCUGAUGCAGCCAUGCCGCGUGUAUGAAGAAGGCCUUCGGGUUGUAAAGUACUUUCAGCGGGGAGGAAGGGAGUAAAGUUAAUACCUUUGCUCAUUGACGUUACCCGCAGAAGAAGCACCGGCUGACUCCGUG
RNAcentral lists this ribosomal RNA (490 nucleotides) under uncultured bacterium. RNAcentral's name for it is "partial 16S ribosomal RNA". It matches the Rfam family "Bacterial small subunit ribosomal RNA", at positions 30 to 507 of the family's 1533-position model. The record is from RNAcentral.